This is an RNA transcript of Cercocebus atys (sooty mangabey), 4903 nucleotides long. It is a transcript of the gene named leucine rich repeat containing 29, with no coding region annotated. The record is from RefSeq and is a predicted model, not a curated record. The transcript has 3 exons. Lineage: Eukaryota; Metazoa; Chordata; Mammalia; Primates; Cercopithecidae.
GGAAGCCGCCCUCAGGCCUAGCUCCGGACAGGCCCCGCCCUCGAGGUCCCGAGCUUUGGGGAGGGGCUGUCAGAUAGCUAGCCCGGCCCCUCCAGCCUGGCGGAAACGACCUGCCCUCCCGAUCCCGCGACCUUCUAGCUCUGGGUAACGGCUACUCCUUUGGGCCACUCUGUCCCUUUAGCUUGAGGGACCGUCCUCCCCUUCCCUAUCGGCCCCAGGAGAUAGCUGCCCUGUCACCUCAGCAAGAACAGGCCCUCUACCCAUCCCCUUCCCUUGAGGUGGCUGUCUCCUCUCCGCUCAGUUCUGGAAGAUGUCCGCUCCAUCUCAUCGUCCCGAAGGGUAACUGAUCUUAUCCCCAUUGGUCCCUUGGGAUGAUCUCUCCAUUUCCUACGCCCCGACAGAGACGGCCGCCCCCUCUCCCUGACAGUGGGAAACAGACUGCUCCCUACCUAUCAACUGCAAUGAUCUCUGAAUUCCUUUAGCAAGGAUAGGCCUGUUCCCCAUUCCUAGGCCCCUAGUGAUGGCCGCCUUUACCUCUUUCACUCCAUGGGAUGUUUGCUCCUUCCCCUUAGCCAGGGGCAAGACCACUCUGCCCCAUCUGCCGAGGAGAUAACAGGUUUUGUCUUCAGUGGCCUGUUGGAAUGGCUUCUCCAUCUCUUUUGUCCUGAAGGUUGGCAGCCCCCUCUCUCUGCCCAUGGGAAACGGGCCACCCUUUCCCACUGGUCCUGGAAUGAUGCUCCCUAUCCUUAGCAAAAAUAGGCCUGUUCCCACCCCCUUUAGCUUGCAGUGCUAUUCCUUUCCCCCUUAGCUUUAGGGGCUAUUUCCAUCCCCAUAGACCCCAUGAGUGACCAGUCAUUAUCUCCAGUAGCCCCCUUGAGAUGGGACUCAUGGGAUGGCCACUCCAUCCUCAUCACUGCCUCCUCUCAUCCCUCUAGAAAGGCCACCCUCUUCUUAGGUCAAUGAAUUGUGUCCCUCCCCCACUCACCCCAAGGGAUGACAGGUUUGUUCCCCUCUCCCUUUGCUCUUGGGCUGGCUGCUUAGCCCCAGAAGACAAGAUGGCCACUGUCUUAACUCAGCUCAAACAGGCUUCCCUGCCUCCCUGGAGGGAUUGGGACAUGGUCAGUCCCAGUCCCCAUCAAUACUGUCUUCCCUAUGCCUAGCCUCCCUGGCUCAGAAUUCUAUUCUCCCAGUCAUUGUCCUCUCAGUAAUGAUUACUUUUAUUUCCCUGACCCCUUCCCUGAGCAUACUCUUGGUGAAAAUAGAGGUAGAGGACUGGACUGCCCAACCUUAAUUUAAUCCAGUAAGCACUGGCUGAGCACUGUGCCUGCGUGCUUGGCAUCUGAGAAGGGAAGGAGAGAUCACAAUGGGUUGGUGAAGUCAAGCUUCAGGAAGGGGAUCCCAGGGAAAAGGCCCGCAUAGGCAAAAGGAAAUAGAUAUGCUAUGUUUGUAGGGCAGUAGGGAGACUGGAUUGGGGAAGUUUGGGGACCAGCGAGUCCAAUCAGGCACAGAGACCUGGCAGUGCUGAUCCAGGAGUGAAGACUGUCCUGAGAGUACUGGUGAACCCUGAAGUUUUACAGCAGGGAUGCUCACAUAUAUUCUGAGCUUCCUGCCUCUGUCAGAUCAGAAAGAGGCCUCCCUCGUGAGUUGGGCUUGGUACCGUGCUGCCCAGAAUGCCCUUCGGGAGCAUCAGUUUGGUGGAAAAAAGGAUGUCACCUCUUCCUGAGGAAGCAGAGAGGUGGGAGUGGAAACAUGGAGCUAUUUGCAGAGAAGUUCCUCAGAGGCGGCUCCUUCCUCAGCAGCCCCUUUGCUCAGUGGAUUUGGAGACCAGGUUGUCUCAGGAGGAGAGUGAAAAGAGACAUAGAGGUCAGGGCUUCAGCAGAGAGGACUGGAGCAGUCACAGGACAGGAGGAAGAUGGAAAAUUACCAGAGACACAUGGAGAGUGUGUGGGCAGCCUUUCUCAAGUGUUUCUGCUGUGCCAGGCACUGUGCUGGGCACUGGCAAGGCAAAACUGAGGAAGGCACAGGGCUGGGGAGUGUGUAGUGAGCACAGAUGAGUCAAAAGAGGCUGGGGUGCUGCAUUUGAAGUCUGUGUGAGGUACAUCAUGGGUGCAGAGAAAAGAUCAGAAAAGACUCCAUGGAGAAGGAGGUGUUUGGCCUGAGACUCGAGAGAGUAAUAAACAUUCGCCAAAUAGACCAAUAGGAGAAGGUGAGGGGUGGGACCCCCUAGAACAGAAAAAGCAGCUGAGCAGAGGCGUGCAGUACAGGACAGUGGUCAGAAGUGGCAGCCUCAGAACCAGGACUAGGAGGAAAGGGAACGGGCUUGGGAAGAGCUUGACUGAAGCCCUGGGUCCUAGAAGGGCUUGAAUGCUUGCUUAGGAAGCUUAGCCUGUGUCCCGGAGGUGUGCGGAACUGGCAGAGGGUCUGGAAAGCACAGGCAGAAUCGCCUUUUGGAAGGGUCACCUGGUGACAAAACCCAGGGUGGAUUGGAGCCAGAGAAACUGGAGGCCAGGACCUGAUAAGGAGGAAGCUGGCAUCAUCUGAGCUUAGAGUAAGGGGACCUCAACUGGGCAGAAGCAGUGAGAUUGGAGCAGAGGGACAGAUUGAUUGCACCAUAUUAGGAAAACAGAGUAGAAGGGACUUGGGUUAUUGUGGAUGUGGGGAGUGAGGGAGGAUUCUAGAAUCACUCUCAAAUUUCCCACUUGGGUGACUGAAUAGAGGGUGGGGAGAGUUUAGAAGGAGCAGAGUUGGAGGAUGGGGUGAUGAAUUCAGAUUUGGGCAUGCCGCAUCUCCCUCUGGAGAGAGGUCAAUCAGGCUCUUGGCUCCCAGGGUCUGGUGUUCAGGAAAAUGAUGUGGAUCGGAAAGAUAGUAGUUGGAAUGAUGGCCCCAUGGGGCGAAAUGCAGUUGGCCAGGGUACACUUGGAGGGUCGCAAAGAUCGUGUGCAUAUAUGCGCGUGCACACAUGUAUGUGUGUUGUUGGGUGGAACAAACCACGGGGAACCCACUCAUCUGUGGACUGGAUCUCUGUUCUUUGCUGACCCCAAAAGAGCCUGAAGAGGAGCAGGCUAGAAGGUAGCAGGAAAGCCAGGAGGGCAGAGUUGCAGAACCCCAGUGGGAGACGGCAUCAAGGGGAGUGGUUGCUGGCCAUGCAGAGCAGGAGACAUGGCAGAGAGAUCCCUGGUGGGAGGUCUGAGGUGAAGCCCCCACAUGUUGGUGACCUUGCUGGAAGGGAGCCAUUGCCAGGAAUGCAUGAUCCUGUGGGGACCAAGGUGGAGGAGUGAGCAGGUGAGGCGAAGGGCAACAAGUGGCCGGACAGCAGGCAUGCCUGUGCCUGUGUGCUUCCAAGAAGUGUGGCUGUAGAGGGAGGGGAGAGAGGAGAGACAAGAGGAGGGGGUGCAGGAUGAAAGGAGGCUUUUAUUUGCAGUUUAAGACUCUGGGGUGUUUGUGGCCUCUGAAGAAGGAGCAGUGGAAAGGAAGAAACAGCAGGGUUCUCAGAGGAGGUGCAGUGGGUAAAGGAGGCCAGAAGAGGUCUUCUGGAAGCAAAAGAGCAGGAGAAGGAGGAAAGUUCAGAUGGGCCCUGCCUGGAGGCAGCUGGUGGACAUGAACAGGGGAAAGGGAGGGACUUCCCACUUGAUGGCCAUCUCUGAGAAUCCUGGGUGAGGGAGGGUGUAUCAGUAGGGCCAGGAGCUGGAGUGGGAGGGGCUUGGAGAGAAAACUUGUCUGGGGUGGGAAGUGAGCAAGGAGGCCAUGACUUCCUGGGCGGAGUUCUGUAUCCCUGGUACAGACUCAGAGGAGGCAGCUGGUCUCACCAGUCCUGGCCGGGCCAGGAGAAUGGGUACAGCAGCAUGACUGAGGCAGGGCAACAAGGACCCCGAGGAGAUGUCAUCACAGGCAAAGCCUCAUGGAGCCCAGCAAAGACGGGGCAGUCAGAGGAGCCUAAGGGGGGCAGCCAGGCCCUGAGGCGCAGAUAGGAUUGGAGUGGGUGAGGGCUGGAGGAAGGAGAUGGAAGCCAGAGUCAGUGUUUUAGAGCGGGAGCUGCUCCAGCCAACUAUGCUCUCCAGAUAGAAUGCGGACAGAGACAGAUGACAGAGCCUUGGGAUAACCAAAAACAAGAAAAAGAAAAAAGGAAUGUUGACAAAGACCCUUUAGUGCCUCUGCAAAACUCAGCCCCACCUAGGCUGGGAGCAUUGGGAAGCCAGGCCACAGGUACCUGGCAUCACCCCUACCAUGUGCCUGAGAGCACCUGCGGGACCCUGCAGGCAGGAACCAUCUCCCAGGGCUCAGGCAUGGGCAGGUGGAUACUGAGGCAGUACCAGUUAGGUGCCAGUUAGGUGCUAUGGAAGACACAGGCCCAGCUAGGGUAGGACACUGGUCUUGGGGACUUACUGUCCCUGACCAGUCCCAGCUGUUCCCUUAAUCCCAAUUUUCUCAAAUAAGGAUGCCGGCAAAGGCAGCACCCUCCAUAUACACCGGCCCUGUCCGUUCCUGUGGGGAGCCCUGGCUACCUGCUGCUGGUUGGUCCCCAUGAAGCAAUAGCUGAAGAGAGCUCUUUGCGCCCUCCCCUUCCGGAGGGAUUGAUGAAGUCCUGGAGCAGCCUCUGUAUGACCCACCAGUCUGACUCCUCUCUAAAGACCAAUGCCCUGGGUGCCAGGGCAUACAUUUCCCAACGGCCUCCUGGAGAACAGGCAUGGUAGCUUUGGAGUCCUAUAUUAGGCAGGAUGAAGGGCCAUUUUCUCUGUCACAUGGCUUUCCAAGUCUGUACACAGGCCUGCAGUCUCAGUUCAGGGCUUCACUAGGUAAAACAAAACCCUGGUCUCCCACAGACAAGGUACAUACAUCAGGCCGGGUGCGGUGGCUCAAGCCUGUAAUCUCAGCACUUUGGGAGGCCGAGACGGGCGGAUCACGA